GCUCAGGUUGGACAGCAGGAUGAAUUUCUCCCUGGAAAGGGUGGUCAGGCCUUGGCAGGGGCUGCCCAGGGAGGUGGUGGAGUCCCCAUCCCUGGAGGUGUCCAAGGAAGGCCUGGCCGUGGCACUCAGUGCUCUGGGCUGGGGGACAAGGUGUUGUCUGGUGAAAGGUUGCGCUUGAUGAUCUUGGAGGUCUUUUCCAGUUUUAAGGAUUCUGUGAGUUAAUGUGAGAGUUGGGAAUCCAUUGAGUAUGAACCUUGUACCUUUUUUGUAAUUCUGUUUUUCAGUUUGAUAGCUUCUUUGGCUUCUUCUAUAGAGCUUUUCUAAUUAAGAUCCAGUCUCAGGCUGUUUUAACAUCUCUUAUAGUCUCUUGUACUAUUAGUUAUUCUUGAUUUUUUGGAUGUUUUCUAGUACUAACGGUUGUCUGGUGGUAGCACUGGGUUAGAACAGCUGCAAGAUCUCAGUUUAGUUCCAAAAAACUUAGCGAAUAGACCUCGAAAAACAGAGAAGAGCUGUAUUGUCUUGGUUUUGAACAACAAACAUAAUCCACUUUGUCUCCAGAACUUCAGCUGAUGUGAAUCUCUGACGUUUAUCAUUAUGUUAUUGCUCUCCAAUGGAUCCUUUCUGAGACAUAGGAAUUGCAACCUGGACAAAGCCAGAGCUCCCCUAACCUGCCUCAAAUGGCAGCUGAUAGGAGGCUCUGCAGAGGGAUACUGGGAAAAUCUCUUAUGCACCAUUCUGGAAAAACACCUGCCUGGAGGCUGUUAAACUUCUGGUCUGAAAUUCUGGAGUGAAUUAUUAAAGUAAAGAGAGCUUUUGAAUCAUGGAAUCAUAUAAUCAUUAAGGUUGGGAAAGACCUCUAAGAUCAUCGUAUCCAGCCAUCCACCGAGCACCACCAUCUUGUUCACCAUUAAACCAUGUCCUCAAAUGCCACAGCCACACAGUUUUUGAACAAUUCUAGGGAUGGCAUCUCCACCACUGCCCAGGGCAGCUUUGACAACCCUUUCCAUGAAGAAAUUUUACCUAAUAUCCAGUGAAAACCUCCCCUGGCACAGCUGGAGGCCGUUCCCUCUCCUCCUGUCCCUUGUUCCCUGGCAGCAGAGCCCGACCCCCCCCCCGGCUCCCCCCUCCUGUCAGGGACUUGCAGAGCCAGAAGGUCCCCCCUGAGCCUCCUUUUCUCCAGGCUGAGCCCCCCCAGCUCCCUCAGCCGCUCCUGCUGCUCCAGCCCCUUCCCCAGCUCCGUUCCCUUCCCUGCACACGCUCCAGCCCCUCCGGGUCUCUCCUGUUGAGGGCCCAGAACUGGGCCCAGCCCUCGCGGUCCCUCAGCGGUGCCAGCACAGGGACGGGCACUGCCCUGGGGCUGUGCCCACACCAUGGCUGGCACAGCCCAGGGGCCCUUGGCCUUCUUGCCCCCCUGGGCACACCCGGGCUCGUGUCCAGCCGCUGUCACCAGCACCCCCAGGGCCUUUCCCAGCUUUGCAGCCCCUCUGCCCCAGCCUGGAGCUGCAGGGGUUGGUGUGACCCAAGGGCAGGACCCGGCACUGGGCCUUGUUGUAUUUCAUACAAUUGCCCUUGGCCCAUUAAUCCAGACUGUCCAGAUUCCUCUGCAAAGCCUUCCUGCCCUCCAGCAGAUCCACUGUCCUACCCAGCUUGGUGUCAUCUGCAAACCAGCUGAGGGCAAUCAGCCCCUGGUCCAUAUCAUUGAUGAAGGUAUUAAACAGGACUGGCCUGGAUAUUGAGCCCGGGGAACAUCACCGAUGACCAUAUAGAGCACAAAAACCUCUCAAGGCUUGGGCACGUGUUCACCUUUGGCACCCUCCCAGGAAAGGACCCAUGAGUACCAGGUUUUGGUUACUUCUGGCAUGAUGGAGACUCAAACACAGCCACAGCAGGGAAGCCCCCUGGGCUGGGGCAGCUCUGGCCUCAGCCUCUCCUUGGUUCAUGUUACAUAUCUGUGAAAUGCAGGCUGCUGACUACAGUCAAAUUACCUACAAAACAAGAAGUCAGCUGAGAUAAAGAAUUGGAGAAAAUGGCUCUGGUUGUCUGAGGUGCUCUGCAAUAUUUGUCAUCUGCGGAUUAGCAGCAAUCAGCAAAACUCACAAUAAGCGUCCCUGGCAGGUCAGAUGCUGGACAUGGCCUUUGGCACCCUGGUUCAUCUGAAGGAUACAAGGAAGUAUCAGUAGAUGGGUGAAUCUCAGAUGAUGGUGAAGUGUUCC
Long non-coding RNA from Pseudopipra pipra, 2213 nucleotides. RefSeq lists it as uncharacterized. The transcript is spliced from 5 exons. Lineage: Eukaryota; Metazoa; Chordata; Aves; Passeriformes; Pipridae. The record is from RefSeq and is a predicted model, not a curated record.